CCGAAUUCGUCCACUACAGAGUUUGAUCCUGGCUCAGGACGAACGCUGGCGGCCUGCUUAACACAUGCAAGUCGAACGGAAAGGCCCUUUCGGGGGUACUCGAGUGGCGAACGGGUGAAUAACCAGGGGGGGGAUCGGCCUGGCCUUCGGGAAAAACUUGGGAAAAGGGGGCUCAAACACGGGAUAGAACUACGGACUGCGUGGUUGGGGGUGAAAAGCUUUUGCGGGGUGGGAUGGGCCCGCGGCCUAUCAGCUUGUUGGUGGGGUGAUGGCCUACCAAGGCGACGACGGGUAGCCGGCCUGAGAGGGUGUCCGGCCACACUGGGACUGAGAUACGGCCCAGACUCCUACGGGAGGCAGCAGUGGGGAAUAUUGCACAAUGGGCGCAAGCCUGAUGCAGCGACGCCGCGUGGGGGAUGACGGCCUUCGGGUUGUAAACCUCUUUCACCAUCGGCGAAGCCCAUGAUUUUUGUUGUGGGUGACGGUAGGUGGAGAAGAAGCACCGGCCAACUACGUGCCAGCAGCCGCGGUAAUACGUAGGGUGCGAGCGUUGUCCGGAAUUACUGGGCGUAAAGAGCUCGUAGGUGGUUUGUCGCGUUGUCCGUGAAAUUCCCUGGCUUAACUGGGGGCGUGCGGGCGAUACGGGCAGACUGGAGUACUGCAGGGGAGACUGGAAUCCCUGGUGUAGCGGUGGAAUGCGCAGAAAUCAGGGGGAACACCGGGGGCGAAGGCGGGUCUCUGGGCAGAACCUGACCCUGAGGAGCGAAAGGGUGGGGAGGGAACAGGAUUAAAUACCCUGGGAGUCCACGCCGAAACGGGGGGUACUAGGGGGGGGUUUCCUUCCUGGGAUCCGGGGCGAAAGUAAACAAUUAAUACCCCGCCUGGGGGAAACGGCCCCAGGGCAAAAUCAAAGGAAAUGGAGGGGCCCCCCCCAAGGGGGGGAAAACCGGGGUUUAAUUUCUGGGAGCCCGAAAAACCCAUUCCGGGGGUUAACACGG
Molecule: ribosomal RNA, 998 nt
Filed under: uncultured bacterium
Lineage: Bacteria
Description: partial 16S ribosomal RNA
Rfam family: Bacterial small subunit ribosomal RNA
Source: RNAcentral